This 162-nucleotide ribosomal RNA is filed under the name uncultured bacterium. RNAcentral describes it as "partial 16S rRNA". It matches the Rfam family "Bacterial small subunit ribosomal RNA", at positions 355 to 511 of the family's 1533-position model. The record is from RNAcentral.
UAGGGAAUCUUCCACAAUGGGCGAAAGCCUGAUGGAGCAACGCCGCGUGUGUGAUGAAGGCUUUCGGUCGUAAAGCACUGUUGUAUGGAAGAACAGCUAGAAUAGGAAAUGAUUUUAGUUUGACGGUACCAUACCAGAAAGGGACGGCUAAAUACGAGUCAG